Gossypium raimondii (Peruvian cotton) is the source of this 115-nucleotide non-coding RNA. NCBI's taxonomy places the organism in Eukaryota, Viridiplantae, Streptophyta, Magnoliopsida, Malvales, Malvaceae. The record is from Rfam.
UGUUAAAAAUUUAAUCUAUUUGUAUUGUUAAAAACAAGCAUGGUAUGUCACGUGUACAUCAUGUUAAUGUACAAAGACCAGUUUUUAACAGUAAAAAUGAAUGAAAUUUCUAGCA